Molecule: ribosomal RNA, 469 nt
Filed under: uncultured bacterium
Lineage: Bacteria
Description: bacterial SSU rRNA
Rfam family: Bacterial small subunit ribosomal RNA
Source: RNAcentral
UCCUACGGGGGGCUGCAGUAGGGAAUAUUGGGCAAUGGGCGAAAGCCUGACCCAGCCAUGCCGCGUGAGUGAUGAAGGCCUUCGGGUCGUAAAACUCUUUUCUGAGGGAAGAAAAGUUGAGGGAGGAAAUGCCCUUGACCUGACGGUACCUCAGGAAUAAGCAACGGCCAACUCCGUGCCAGCAGCCGCGGUAAUACGGAGGUUGCGAGCGUUGUUCGGAAUAACUGGGCGUAAAGGGAGCGCAGGCGGUCUGGUGUGUACGGAGUGAAAGCCCGGGGCUUAACCUCGGAAGCGCUUUAGAUACUACCAGACUUGAGUACGGGAGAGGAGAGUGGAAUUCCAGGUGUAGCGGUGAAAUGCGUAGAUAUCUGGAGGAACACCGGUGGCGAAAGCGGCUCUCUGGCCCGAUACUGACGCUCAUGCUCGAAAGCGUGGGGAGCAAACGGGAUUAGAUACCCGGGUAGUCAAC